AGUGAACGCUGGCGGUAGGCCUAACACAUGCAAGUCGAACGGAUGCAGAGAAAUUGCUUGUGGUUACGGGGGGCGAGGGGCGGGCGAGGGCUAGAUACCUCGCUGGUAACGUGUUCUUGGGUGUUGACAUAGGGGAUAUUACGCCAAAAGUGCUGAGGGCGAAAGUGGGAAAUCAUGGGAACUUCUGCUCUCGCAUGAGUAUAUGACGGGUUGUCGGAUUAGCUGGUUGGAGGGGUAAAGGCCCACCAAGGCGACGAUCCGUAGCUGGGCUGAGAGGAUGAUCAGUCACACUGGAACUGAGACACGGUCCAGACUCCUACGGGAGGCAGCAGUGGGGAAUAUUGGACAAUGGGCGCAAGCCUGAUCCAGCCAUACCGCGUGUGUGAAGAAGGCCUUCGGGUUGUAAAGCCCUUUUGUUGGGAAAGAAAAGCAGCAGGUUAAUACCCCGCUGUUCUGACGUUACCCAAAGAAUAAGCACCGGCUAACUUCGUG
RNAcentral lists this ribosomal RNA (492 nucleotides) under uncultured bacterium. RNAcentral describes it as "partial 16S ribosomal RNA". It matches the Rfam family "Bacterial small subunit ribosomal RNA", at positions 29 to 507 of the family's 1533-position model. The record is from RNAcentral.